RNAcentral lists this ribosomal RNA (1884 nucleotides) under Triticum aestivum (bread wheat). Its description in RNAcentral is "partial small subunit ribosomal RNA". Lineage: Eukaryota; Viridiplantae; Streptophyta; Magnoliopsida; Poales; Poaceae. The record is from RNAcentral.
AUGAGUAAAUUACUUGUCAUAGCCCUCCUGCUGCUGCCUCUUAUCAACCACGGAAACGACUUGGCCGUAGCAUGGGAUGAUAAAGAUUUCUUCAGAUACUGCGCACCGUCCCAGUGCAGCCAACAUGGCCCAGAGAUCAGGUAUCCUUUCUGCCUUAAAUCCAGCAAUACAUCAUCAUCAUGUGGAUGUCGCGAAUCAUGGACGAAGUUAGCAUGUUCUGGUCAAGACACCAUCCUACUUCACCCAGUUCUUGGCCCAUACAGUGUCAGCGCCAUGGAUUACAGACGUUCUUCCAUGAAGAUCAUCCCGCUUGUAGACCCCUGCCAACUGCUCCAGCAGGAGCUCAUGAUCUCCGGAAGCUUAUCAUCUCAAAAAGUUGAUGUUGCCAACGAUGACCCGCUGGGUCCGAACCAAUUAUUUUCUUGGAGUUUAUCUGCAACCCUAGUACACUGUUCAAGAGAGUUCACACCUGGUGCUGCCGAUAGCAUUGCAGGCCCAGUCUCCUGCCUUAGCAACGCAACCCACUUCCUGUAUUUGGUAGCUGGCUAUGAAGAUAUGUCUCUUCUUCCGCUGGACUGCAAGGUCAUCCCAGUCUCAGAUGGCAGAAGCGUCCUGAUACAGAUACCAAAGUAUGACAACCGACAAUUGUACGAAGACUACAAACCACAGUUCUUCAAGGAAAGUGCUGAAAGAAUCCUCAGUUUCACUGAGAUGACGGUGUAUUGGAAUGAAUACAGUUGCAUUGAUUGUGAACUCCAUUGCGGACGCUGCGCAUUCAGCUCACAAAGGAGUCUACCAUUCUGCAUGCCUGGUUCACAUAUCAAAGUCAUUGCAGCUACAUCUUCGGUGGCCGCAUUUGUUGUUCUUUUAUUGACAGUGACCACUGCACUUUAUCUUUCACUCAAGACAAGAUAUAAUAAGGAGAUACAUUUGAAGGUCGAAAUGUUUCUCAAGACAUAUGGCACAUCAAAACCCACGAGGUACACGUUCUCUGAAGUUAAGAAGAUAGCAAGACGGUUUAAGGAAAAGGUAGGGCAGGGAGGAUUUGGAAGUGUAUACAAAGGCGAGCUACCAAAUGGAGUGCCCGUGGCAGUCAAGAUGCUAGAGAACGCUACAGGAGAGGGAGAAGUAUUCAUCAACGAAGUUGCAACCAUCGGACUUAUCCAUCAUGCCAAUAUUGUCCGCCUCCUGGGAUUUUGUUCCGAAGGAAUGAGACGGGCUCUUAUUUAUGAAUUCAUGCCUAACGAGUCACUAGAGAAAUACAUAUUCUCUCGUGACCUUAACAUUUUUCAGCAUCUUCUGGUGCCAGACAAACUGCUAGAUAUUGCUUUAGGCAUCGCCCGAGGAAUGGAGUACUUGCAUCAAGGGUGCAACCAGCGCAUCCUCCACUUUGACAUCAAGCCUCACAAUACCUUACUGGACCACAACUUCAAUCCAAAGAUCUCAGAUUUUGGCCUUGCUAAGUUGUGUGCAAGGGACCAAAGCAUCGUCACCUUAACAGCAGCAAGAGGCACAAUGGGCUAUAUUGCACCAGAGUUAUAUUCUCGUAACUUUGGGGGAGUAUCGUACAAGUCAGAUGUGUACAGUUUCGGGAUGCUGGUGUUAGAAAUGGUGAGCGGAAGGAGGAAUGCAGACCCAAGUAUUGAGAGUCAGAACGACGUUUACCUCCCAGAGUGGAUCUACGAGAAAGUGGUCAAUGGGGAGGAGUUGGCUCUUACUUUGGAAACGACUCAAGAAGAGAAAGAGAAGGUGAGGCAGCUGGCUAUUGUCGCACUGUGGUGUAUCCAGUGGAACCCAAGAAACCGGCCAUCGAUGACAAAGGUCGUUAACAUGUUAACAGGGAGGUUUCAGAAUCUGCAGAUGCCACCGAAGCCUUUCAUCUAA